GUCUACAGCCAUGCCACCCUGAACAAGCCUGAUCCUGAUCUCGGAUGCUAAGCAGGGUCGGGCCUGGUUAGUACUUGGAUGGGAGACCACCCAGGAAGACCAGGUGCUGUAGGUA
Pteropus alecto (black flying fox) is the source of this 115-nucleotide non-coding RNA. The record is from Rfam. Lineage: Eukaryota; Metazoa; Chordata; Mammalia; Chiroptera; Pteropodidae.